CGCUUGUUAAAAUCACCAUGCUAUCAAUAGCAUUAUCUAUUGUUCUUGGUAGUAUUAUUACUCUAUGUAGUGCUUCUAUCAACUCAGACUGUUGUCUUCCUGAUCAAUUUGAAACUCAUCUUGACAAGGUUUUUAACGCUGGCUUUGGUACUCACGGCAGUACGGAUAUUGCCAAUAUUGGUUUUAAAGAGUUAGCUGUUUAUUACGAUGCCACUUAUAAACAGAUAGCAUUUAUUCACUCAUAUGAUGUCACAAUGGACUUUAAGCAUGAUAUUAGAAGUUUUAGAGUAAUACAGGAUUUCAACAAGCUCAUGCAAUAUACGAUAAACACACGAAAUCAAACCUGUUCAAAGUCUCCACUGCCAGACAAUUUUCAUAGAGUAUGUACAG
Molecule: long non-coding RNA, 390 nt
Organism: Patella vulgata (common limpet)
Lineage: Eukaryota; Metazoa; Mollusca; Gastropoda; Patellidae
Exons: 3
Source: RefSeq, a predicted model, not a curated record